RNAcentral lists this ribosomal RNA (638 nucleotides) under uncultured bacterium. RNAcentral's name for it is "bacterial SSU rRNA". It matches the Rfam family "Bacterial small subunit ribosomal RNA", at positions 55 to 692 of the family's 1533-position model. The record is from RNAcentral.
AUGCAAGUCGAACGAGAAUCUGCUGAAGGAGGAUUCGUCCAACGGAAGCAGAGGAAAGUGGCGGACGGGUGAGUAACGCGUGAGGAACCUGCCUUGAAGAGGGGGACAACAGUUGGAAACGACUGCUAAUACCGCAUGACGCAUAGAGGUCGCAUGAUCUUUAUGCCAAAGAUUUAUCGCUUCAAGAUGGCCUCGCGUCUGAUUAGCUGGUUGGCGGGGUAACGGCCCACCAAGGCGACGAUCAGUAGCCGGACUGAGAGGUUGAACGGCCACAUUGGGACUGAGAUACGGCCCAGACUCCUACGGGAGGCAGCAGUGGGGAAUAUUGGGCAAUGGGCGCAAGCCUGACCCAGCAACGCCGCGUGAAGGAAGAAGGCUUUCGGGUUGUAAACUUCUUUUAAGAGGGAAGAGUAGAAGACGGUACCUCUAGAAUAAGCCACGGCUAACUACGUGCCAGCAGCCGCGGUAAUACGUAGGUGGCAAGCGUUGUCCGGAUUUACUGGGUGUAAAGGGCGUGCAGCCGGGUCUGCAAGUCAGAUGUGAAAUCCAUGGGCUCAACCCAUGAACUGCAUUUGAAACUGUGGAUCUUGAGUGUCGGAGGGGCAAUCGGAAUUCCUAGUGUAGCGGUGAAAUGCGUA